This 460-nucleotide ribosomal RNA is filed under the name uncultured bacterium. Its description in RNAcentral is "partial 16S ribosomal RNA". It matches the Rfam family "Bacterial small subunit ribosomal RNA", at positions 338 to 795 of the family's 1533-position model. The record is from RNAcentral.
ACUACGGGUGGCUGCAGUGAGGAAUAUUGGUCAAUGGGCGGAAGCCUGAACCAGCCAAGUAGCGUGCAGGAUGACGGCCCUACGGGUUGUAAACUGCUUUUAUACGGGAAUAACGCGCCUUACGUGUAGGGCUUUGCAUGUACCGUAUAAAUAAGGACCGGCUAAUUCCGUGCCAGCAGCCGCGGUAAUACGGAAGGUCCGGGCGUUAUCCGGAUUUAUUGGGGUUAAAGGGAGCGUAGGCCGCAUGUCAAGCGUGCUGUGAAAUGUCCGGGCUCAACCCGGGCCUUGCAGCGCGAACUGGCGUGCUUGAGUCCGCGGAAAGCAGGCGGAAUUCGUCGUGUAGCGGUGAAAUGCUUAGAUAUGACGAAGAACCCCGAUUGCGAAGGCAGCUUGCUGCAGCGGAACUGACGCUGAUGCUCGAAAGCGCGGGUAUCGAACAGGAUUAGAUACCCCUGUAGUC